This 23-nucleotide microRNA is filed under the name Magallana gigas (Pacific oyster). RNAcentral describes it as "Mgi-Mir-184-P7_5p* (star (passenger))". Lineage: Eukaryota; Metazoa; Mollusca; Bivalvia; Ostreida; Ostreidae. The record is from RNAcentral.
CCUUAUCACUUGUUCGUCGCAGU